This 618-nucleotide ribosomal RNA is filed under the name Vibrio tapetis. RNAcentral describes it as "bacterial SSU rRNA". It matches the Rfam family "Bacterial small subunit ribosomal RNA", at positions 56 to 655 of the family's 1533-position model. The record is from RNAcentral. Lineage: Bacteria; Pseudomonadati; Pseudomonadota; Gammaproteobacteria; Vibrionales; Vibrionaceae.
UGCAGUCGAGCGGAACGAGUUAUCUGAACCUUCGGGGAACGAUAACGGCGUCGAGCGGCGGACGGGUGAGUAAUGCCUGGGAAAUUGCCCUGAUGUGGGGGAUAACUAUUGGAAACGAUAGCUAAUACCGCAUAACGUCUACGGACCAAAGAGGGGGACCUUCGGGCCUCUCGCUUCAGGAUAUGCCCAGGUGGGAUUAGCUAGUUGGUGAGGUAAUGGCUCACCAAGGCGACGAUCCCUAGCUGGUCUGAGAGGAUGAUCAGCCACACUGGAACUGAGACACGGUCCAGACUCCUACGGGAGGCAGCAGUGGGGAAUAUUGCACAAUGGGCGCAAGCCUGAUGCAGCCAUGCCGCGUGUAUGAAGAAGGCCUUCGGGUUGUAAAGUACUUUCAGUCGUGAGGAAGGCGAUAUAGUUAAUAGCUAUAUCGUUUGACGUUAGCGACAGAAGAAGCACCGGCUAACUCCGUGCCAGCAGCCGCGGUAAUACGGAGGGUGCGAGCGUUAAUCGGAAUUACUGGGCGUAAAGCGCAUGCAGGUGGUUUGUUAAGUCAGAUGUGAAAGCCCGGGGCUCAACCUCGGAACCGCAUUUGAAACUGGCAGGCUAGAGUACUGUAGA